This 913-nucleotide ribosomal RNA is filed under the name uncultured bacterium. Its description in RNAcentral is "bacterial SSU rRNA". It matches the Rfam family "Bacterial small subunit ribosomal RNA", at positions 8 to 916 of the family's 1533-position model. The record is from RNAcentral.
AGAGUUUGAUCCUGGCUCAGAUUGAACCGCUGGCGGCAGGCCUAACACAUGCAAGUCGAGCGGUAGAGAGAAGCUUGCUUCUCUUGAGAGCGGCGGACGGGUGAGUAAUGCCUAGGAAUCUGCCUGGUAGUGGGGGAUAACGUUCGGGAACGGACGCUAAUACCGCAUACGUCCUACGGGAGAAAGCAGGGGACCUUCGGGCCUUGCGCUAUCAGAUGAGCCUAGGUCGGAUUACUAGUUGGUGAGGUAAUGGCUCACCAAGGCGACGAUCCGUAACUGGUCUGAGAGGAUGAUCAGUCACACUGGAACUGAGACACGGUCCAGACUCCUACGGGAGGCAGCAGUGGGGAAUAUUGGACAAUGGGCGAAAGCCUGAUCCAGCCAUGCCGCGUGUGUGAAGAAGGUCUUCGGAUUGUAAAGCACUUUAAGUUGGGAGGAAGGGCAGUAAAUUAAUACUUUGCUGUUUUGACGUUACCGACAGAAUAAGCACCGGCUAACUCUGUGCCAGCAGCCGCGGUAAUACAGAGGGUGCAAGCGUUAAUCGGAAUUACUGGGCGUAAAGCGCGCGUAGGUGGUUUGUUAAGUUGGAUGUGAAAUCCCCGGGCUCAACCUGGGAACUGCAUUCAAAACUGAUAAGCUAGAGUAUGGUAGAGGGUGGUGGAAUUUCCUGUGUAGCGGUGAAAUGCGUAGAUAUAGGAAGGAACACCAGUGGCGAAGGCGACCACCUGGACAGAUACUGACACUGAGGUGCGAAAGCGUGGGGAGCAAACAGGAUUAGAUACCCAGGUAGUCCACGCCGUAAACGAUGUCAACUAGCCGUUGGGAGCCUUGAGCUCUUAGUGGCGCAGCUAACGCAUUAAGUUGACCGCCUGGGGAGUCCGGCCGCAAGGUUAAAACUCAAAGGAAUUGACGG